Pan troglodytes (chimpanzee) is the source of this 614-nucleotide long non-coding RNA. RefSeq lists it as uncharacterized. NCBI's taxonomy places the organism in Eukaryota, Metazoa, Chordata, Mammalia, Primates, Hominidae. The record is from RefSeq and is a predicted model, not a curated record. The transcript is spliced from 2 exons.
GACCCCUUUCCCUUCUUCUAGCUCUUCUGAGAACCCUGGAGGGUAUACACAUUCCAACUGGGAGAUCCAUUUGAUUUCUGCUUCAAGUUAAGAUGUUUUGUAUCUUUACCAUAAAGUGAUUGAUGAUUAGAAGCUGAGGAGAAUUGAUAAUACAAGAAGAUAAUGCAUUUCGAAGAGGUUUUGGAAACAAACAGCAACAGAAAAAGGUAAGAAGAGGCCAGCUGCCAUGGCUCACACCUGAAAUCCUAGCACUUUGAGAGGCCGAGGCAGUUGAAUCAUCCGAGGUCAGGAAUUCGAGAUCAGCCCGGCUAAUACGGUGAAACUCCGUCUCUGCUAAAACUACAAAAAAAUUAACCGGACAUAGUGCUGCAUGCCUGUAGUCCCAGCUACUCGGGAGGCUGAGGCAAGAGAAUCGCUUGAACCUGGGAGGCAGAGGUUGCAGUGAGCUAAGAUUGCUCCACUGCACUCCAGCCUGGGCGACAGAGUGAGACUCCAUCUCAAAAAAAAAGUAAGAAGAAUUAUCAAUUAUAGAAAGAACCAAUAAUGAUGAUAAAAGUACCAAUAAUAAUUACCAUUGUAUUGCAUUAAACACUGUUUUAGGUGUUUGCCUAUGU